AAGUCGUAACAAGGUUUCCGUAGGUGAACCUGCGGAAGGAUCAUUAACACGUUUUAUCACAAAACAAACCAAACUCUGUGAACUGAGGUGAGACGAAAGUCUUGCCGAACUUUAUUUAACCGAUAUAGCCUCGUUAAGGAGCUACUUGUAGCGCCUUUUCAGGUAUAACUGUUAUUUUCUCUUAUGUGCAUCUGCUGACACCGAUACGUGUUGCAGAGUCACUUAAAACAAACUCGAACAACUCUUAGCAACGGAUAUCUUGGUUCCCA
RNAcentral lists this unclassified non-coding RNA (269 nucleotides) under fungal sp. RNAcentral describes it as "partial internal transcribed spacer region". The stretch from base 1 to 46 matches the Rfam family "Eukaryotic small subunit ribosomal RNA", at positions 1786 to 1831 of the family's 1831-position model. Lineage: Eukaryota; Fungi. The record is from RNAcentral.